UGGGGAAUAUUGGACAAUGGGCGAAAGCCUGAUCCAGCAAUGCCGCGUGUGUGAAGAAGGCCUGCGGGUUGUAAAGCACUUUCGGUGGGGAGGAAAAAGUCAAGGCUAAUAUCCUUGAAAAUUGACGUUACCCGCAAAAGAAGCACCGGCUAACUCUGUGCCAGCAGCCGCGGUAAUACAGAGGGUGCAAGCGUUAAUCGGAAUUACUGGGCGUAAAGCGCACGUAGGUGGUUUGUCAAGUUGGAUGUGAAAGCCCCGGGCUUAACCUGGGAAUUGCAUUCAAUACUAUCAGACUAGAGUAGAGUAGAGGGAAGUGGAAUUUCCGGUGUAGCGGUGAAAUGCGUAGAUAUCGGAAGGAACAUCAGUGGCGAAGGCGGCUUCCUGGACUCAUACUGACACUGAGGUGCGAAAGCGUGGGGAGCAAACAGGAUUAGAUACCCGGGUAGUCC
Molecule: ribosomal RNA, 449 nt
Filed under: uncultured bacterium
Lineage: Bacteria
Description: bacterial SSU rRNA
Rfam family: Bacterial small subunit ribosomal RNA
Source: RNAcentral